AUUGAACGCUGGCGGCAGGCCUAACACAUGCAAGUCGAGCGGAAGAAGGGAGCUUGCUCCUGGAUUCAGCGGCGGACGGGUGAGUAAUGCCUAGGAAUCUGCCUGGUAGUGGGGGAUAACGUCCGGAAACGGGCGCUAAUACCGCAUACGUCCUGAGGGAGAAAGUGGGGGAUCUUCGGACCUCACGCUAUCAGAUGAGCCUAGGUCGGAUUAGCUAGUUGGUGGGGUAAAGGCUUACCAAGGCGACGAUCCGUAACUGGUCUGAGAGGAUGAUCAGUCACACUGGAACUGAGACACGGUCCAGACUCCUACGGGAGGCAGCAGUGGGGAAUAUUGGACAAUGGGCGAAAGCCUGAUCCAGCCAUGCCGCGUGUGUGAAGAAGGUCUUCGGAUUGUAAAGCACUUUAAUAUGGGAGGAAGGGCAGUAAGUUAAUACCUUGCUGUUUUGACGUUACCAACAGAAUAAGCACCGGCUAACUUCGUG
This 484-nucleotide ribosomal RNA is filed under the name uncultured bacterium. Its description in RNAcentral is "partial 16S ribosomal RNA". It matches the Rfam family "Bacterial small subunit ribosomal RNA", at positions 30 to 507 of the family's 1533-position model. The record is from RNAcentral.